This 279-nucleotide long non-coding RNA is filed under the name Prunus dulcis (almond). The record is from RNAcentral. Lineage: Eukaryota; Viridiplantae; Streptophyta; Magnoliopsida; Rosales; Rosaceae.
UUCGCCCCUGCCUUGGGAACAGUCAUACUCAGAACCCCAUUCUCCAAUGGGAACAGUCACACUCAGAACCCCAUUCUCCAUUGCAACCCUAAUCUCCUCUACCUUCGCAUUCUCUGGAAGCUGAAAUCUCCUCAAGAACUUGCUGCUGCUGCGCUCCACUCUGUGCCAUUUGUCGUUCUUGUCCACCUUCUCUACAUUCCUCUCUCCAUUGAUCUGAAGUGCCGUCCUCGAGCUCCACCUUCACCUCUUCUUUCUUCAGCCCCAGAAGGUCUGCCUUGA